GUCGAAGCUGAGAGACAAUUU
Molecule: small RNA, 21 nt
Filed under: Arabidopsis thaliana (thale cress)
Lineage: Eukaryota; Viridiplantae; Streptophyta; Magnoliopsida; Brassicales; Brassicaceae
Description: ATSL257570
Source: RNAcentral